CCUACGGGAGGCAGCAGUGAGGAAUAUUGGUCAAUGGACGGAAGUCUGAACCAGCCAUGCCGCGUGCAGGAAGACGGCUCUAUGAGUUGUAAACUGCUUUUGUACAAGGGUAAACCUGAAUACGUGUAUUCAGCUGACAGUACUGUACGAAUAAGGAUCGGCUAACUCCGUGCCAGCAGCCGCGGUAAUACGGAGGAUCCAAGCGUUAUCCGGAUUUAUUGGGUUUAAAGGGUGCGUAGGCGGAUUGAUAAGUUAGAGGUGAAAUGUCCGAGCUUAACUCGGGAACUGCCUCUGAUACUGUUGAUCUAGAGUGUAGGUGAGGUAGGCGGAAUGUAUGGUGUAGCGGUGAAAUGCGUAGAGAUCAUGCAGAACACCGAUUGCGAAGGCAGCUUACUAAUCUAUAUCUGACGUUGAGGCACGAAAGCGUGGGGAGCAAACAGGAUUAGAUACCCCAGUAGUC
RNAcentral lists this ribosomal RNA (460 nucleotides) under uncultured bacterium. RNAcentral describes it as "partial 16S ribosomal RNA". It matches the Rfam family "Bacterial small subunit ribosomal RNA", at positions 338 to 795 of the family's 1533-position model. The record is from RNAcentral.